Molecule: unclassified non-coding RNA, 1416 nt
Filed under: Hevea brasiliensis (rubber tree)
Lineage: Eukaryota; Viridiplantae; Streptophyta; Magnoliopsida; Malpighiales; Euphorbiaceae
Source: RNAcentral
AUUUCUUUUCUAUACACAUGUAUUUUACCCCUUUUAUGAAUAGAAAUUCUAUACUAGCCUACCAAAACUUUAAAGUAUUUUAUAAUGACCUCAAAGUUUUUAAAUUCUCAUUUUUAUAUAUGCAUUUCUUGCCCAAUUUAUAAAUUUUCUCCAUCUUCAGCCCCUUAGAAUUUAAUAAUAAUUUCAUACAUACCUUAUACGUUCAACCCCCUAAGUUUAAAUAUUCAGUCUACUGCUAACAGCUCCAACAGAUGAGAGGCAUUUCCUCUUAUCCAUGUAAUGUGAGUUCAUGACAACAAAUUUAUUUGCUCAAAGAAGAAAAGAUCCAAAUCUGGUAACGGUGGACAAAUUCAAGAACAACAUCAUAGUCAAGCGAAUUCAAGAGCUAUGAGAAGCAAGAAGGAACUAGAGAAAUAGAAUUCAUUUUGGAUUUACAAGUCAUAGAAAAGGUUUUAGAAGUAUUGCUGGAAUUUUAAUCAAACUUAAGAGAUUUUAUUUUAAUUUGCCAUUAGUGAAAAUAAGAACAUAAAUCAGAGAAAUAGAUUAGGAGCAUUGAGGUGGGAAUUCCAUGGAACAGGAAUUCUAAAGUUUAAAGUUCAAUGACAAUUGCUUAUGUGGCCAUAAAUAACUACUGAUGUAAAACUAAGGCUUUAUGGAAAAUAACAUGAAAUUUAAAGCCAUAUUAAAGAAUUCCAAUUAUAUUAAAGAAUAGGAAAUGAGAAAAUUAAUUAAUUGUAUUAUUUUGCCAUAUCAUAACAAUAGGCUCUGCUGAAAUGUCCUACGUAAAGUUGUGAUAGUAUCAAACAGGAAACUGCUCCUGAAUUGGCUUCAGGUUCUUAAAUAUAGGUUGUGACAAUAAAUCAUUUUUCCCAUUUCUCAACCCAGGAAGUAAUAAUUUCUUAUCAAGCUGCAUAACAUCGUUCUUAAAUUGAUUAGAUGCAACUUGUCAAAAAAUGUUUUGACACUAAGACUCAUGAAAAAACUACCGCUCAAAAAACCAGAAGGAUUAUGCAUGUAACAAAGGAUUCCACAAGUCAUGACAAUUAAGAUUGUCCUAUAUGGGCCUAUGCAAGCUAUUUCUCAAUGGAUGGAAAGAUCUGCUUUUCUCAAAUACAGGUUCUCAAUUUUCACCUCAAACCAAAAAAAAAAUUAAAGAAAGAAAAAAGAAACAAAAUAAUUUCAAAAGCAAUUGAAAUUUCAAUGCCAAACUCCUAGAAAACAACGUCCAGUUCUUGCUUUUUUGGCUGUAAACCAAUAAAAUAUAUGAAAAGCCAUGUGAAAGCAGAAACCCUACCCUGACACAUAAAUAGAAUCCAAAAUGAUGUCCAAAUUAAUUUAAGUGCUUUGACUCUUCUCUGUGUGAUCACAACCCUAUUUGCAUAUUUCUCUCAGUAAAACAGGAGGAGGUGUUCAAAG